UACGUAGGGGGCAAGCGUUAUCCGGAAUCAUUGGGCGUAAAGAGCUCGUAGGCGGUUCAGCAAGUCGGCUGUGAAAGUCCAAGGCUCAACCUUGGAAAUGCAGUCGAUACUGCUGUGACUAGAGUCUGGUAGAGGAGUAUGGAAUUCCCGGUGUAGCGGUGAAAUGCUUAGAUAUCGGGAGGAACACCAGUGGCGAAGGCGGUGCGCUGGGCCUCGACUGACGCUGAGGAGCGAAAGCAUGGGUAGCAAACAGG
RNAcentral lists this unclassified non-coding RNA (254 nucleotides) under uncultured Acidimicrobiia bacterium. RNAcentral describes it as "contains 16S-23S intergenic spacer region". It matches the Rfam family "Bacterial small subunit ribosomal RNA", at positions 524 to 776 of the family's 1533-position model. Lineage: Bacteria; Bacillati; Actinomycetota; Acidimicrobiia. The record is from RNAcentral.